AUGCAGUCUGCCCUCUGUCUGCUUUCCAUCCUCACCCUGCUCCACGGUGUCCAGUGCGAUGGUCAACUGGUGGAGUCCGGGGGAGACGUGAGACAGCCUGGAGGAUCUCUGCGCCUCUCCUGUAAAGCUUCUGGAUUCACCUUCAGUAGCUACUGGAUGGAUUGGGUCCGCCAGGCUCCAGGGAAGGGGCUGGAGUGGGUCUCAACUAUAAGUGGCAAUGGGGGCACCAUAUACUAUUCAGACUCUGUGAAAGGCCGAUUCACCAUCUCCAGGGACAAUGCCAACAACCUGAUGUAUCUGCAAAUGAGCAGCUGAAAUCUGAGGACAUGGCCCUAUAUUACUGCAGUCAGGAGGAGGCUGGGCAGCAGGGAGCCCUCAGGACCCACUGA
Molecule: non-coding RNA, 389 nt
Organism: Tachyglossus aculeatus (Australian echidna)
Lineage: Eukaryota; Metazoa; Chordata; Mammalia; Monotremata; Tachyglossidae
Source: the annotation of a RefSeq genome assembly